UCUUCUCAAAGCAAAUAGAAAUGCUCUUUAUUGUAACUCAUGGUUAAUCAUUCACAUCACCAUUCAUUUUACUUCACCUGCAUCCAGAUAUGAAAACAAAAACAACAAUAAGUUUUUAGUCAUUCAGUGAUUGGUUAUGUACAGCAGCAGGGCGGCUUUGGACAGGUAAGCCACAAUCAACAAGCCUGACAUGAGUCUAACCCCAAUCUUAUCUCAGUGUUAUCUGUGUCAGUCUGAAGCUAUCACAACCUCAGUCUGACCUCAGACUGACCAAAAUGUCUCCAGUCUAACUUUGGUCUGACCUCAUUUUGUCCUCUGUUUGACCUCAAUAUGACCUGAUAUUAACUUAUGUCUGACUUUAGUUUGACCUCAGUCUGACACAAGUUUCGCCUCAUUCUGAUCCAAGUCUGGCCUUUUAAUUAAGCCUGACUGGGGUCUCAUCUUUAACUUUAGUCUGACUACCAUGGAUCGCUAAAUUUAAAAUUUUCUGACCUAAAUCUAACCUUGUCUGACCGCAAUCUGGCUUGAGUCUGACCUUACCUUUGGACUCAGUCUGACCUCAGUUUUACCCCAGCUUGAUCUCUGUUUUGACCUUAGUCAGGAGAAGGACCUCCUCAACUCUUCCUCGUUUUGACCUUUGUCUUGCUUCAAUCAGUCAUCAGUUUGACCUCAGUUUAAUCCAAGUCUGACCUUCAACUUCAGCCUAAAUGUAGUGUUACCUCAGUUUGACCCAGUCUGACCUCUAUCAGACAUCAGUUAGACCUCAGUGUGAUCGAGGCCUGACCUUAGAUCUCAGUAUGACCCCAGUCUUACUUUUGACCUCAGUCUAGGUCUAAGUUGACAUUCAUUUGAUAUUACUCUGACCUUUGACCUCAGUUUGAUCUAAGUUAGACCUCAGUGUUAUUAAAGCCUUACUUUAGAUCUCAGACUGACCCCUGUCUUACCUUUAACCUCAGUCUAGGUCUAAAUUGACAUUCAUUUGAUAUUACUCAGACUUUUGUCCUCAGUUUGACCUCAAAGUGAAAAUGAAACAAGAACAUCACCCUUAAUGCACCUGAGCCAAACCCUGUCUUCAUAUCUGUGUAGUUUUAUGAAGGUUAAAAUAUGACAUCAUUAUAAAGACAUCUGACAUGCAGCGGUGUAAAUGUCAGGGCUGUUGCAUGACCUGCCUUCACAAAGUCACCCUGCGUGUUUAAGUAAUUCAAUAAAAAAGAAAAAAACACUUUGAAAUGUUCAAAAGAAAGAAUUAAACAUGAAACAAUCUUUGUGUCAUCAUGGUGUUAGUCACAGCAACCCACUUCCUGUCUCUAACUACACACAACCAAUCAGAACAAAGCAUAAGAUCCUCUCAGUAUCAUCAAACAGCGUCAGAAUCAUUCCUUAAAAAAUCAAAAGAAAAAAAAAGAAGGAAAUCAUCAACGUAAAGUGACAACGCUCGCUUACUCCUACAAACAAACCUCACAUCUUCAUAAUCCAUUGUUUUCUUUUUUUUUCCAGACUUUUUUUAAACUCACAGAUACAGGAAGCGUGUGGUGGCGAGGCAGGCAUGGUGGUGUGUGAUGCAGGAUGUGGCGUUGGCAAUUUAGUCAGUGAAUUUAGUCUAAAAAGUCAAACCAAACACAGGUUUGUAAUCUGGUUUUAAAGGUGCUGUGAGUUUGAUUUAAGCUUCAAUAUACGAUCUUCAUAUGAAAAUAACAGAAUACCAAUGACUGUAAAUACUGAGACUCAGGACAACAGUGGAGAGGGUGAGACAUCAGCGGACAUGAUGAUGGUUGAUCACCAGAUUUUAAAUGCAUGUGUCUUUAAAGAAUUUAUCAAAGAAAUUAAGCUCUGUGACAAAUACUGAGUGGACUGCUGUUUUUUUUACUUUAGGGAUAAAAAAAAUGAAGGAGUGAACAACAACAUGUGGUAAAGAAAAGGGAAAUGAUGUAAAGACUGAAUGUGUCACAGCGGCGUGUCAAAGGCUGUCCAGUUUUGUAAGCAUCCCCAAACACAGCCAACAAACAUGUCCUCCUUUCCCCGUGAAGGCUGUAACUAGUGUAUUCUUAGUGGCUCAACAUAUCCCAUGAGUCUUUGCUCACUAAUACAAACCACAGACUGUAUAUACUAUGGACAACUUGGUUGUGCCUUCCACCAGUAUAGGGAUUUAAAGCCGAAAAACUUUCAGUAAUUCCACGUUGGUUUCUCCAUAACCUGAAACCAACAUUGCGCAGUAGCAUUGUACGCAUUUGGGAGAGUCGCCAAGAGUCACUGUGAUGAUGCUCGGAUCAAACAGCGCAUACCCUGGGUGGGAAGCAGGGGGGAAAAAAAUUUAUGUUCUGUGUAAUAAAUUUCUCAAGUCUUUCCACAGCCCCAGGAGGAUGGCUGGCGGAGGCAGGUUUAUGACCUAUACUGCAGCCCGUCAGCAGAGUGUGCUGUUCUAGGGGUGGCUUCACCCAGUAAGGAGGUGGACGCUGUCCAUUCUAUAUACAGUCUACGAUACAAACUGGCAAGUAAUAUACUGUUGAAUAAGAGUAUUUCAUUUUAACUCGGUGGUGAACUCUACAUAUAUUAUUCAAGACAGAAGCAUUGAAAUUUAAAUUCAUCUUUGAAAUGUUAGUAAUAGUGUUGAGCCAACUCUGCUAGCCAGUUAGCCACCUGUUGCUAGCACUAAUCACUCUCUAUGUGACAUCAUCAUUAGGGUAGUGAUUUAAGCUUGCAGUUCUCUGAGGGUUAGACCAUCUAAAUUUGGUUCAGUCUCACCGGUCGCCUAAGGCUAUGAAGGCUCAGUCCUUCAAAGGCUUCUGCCCCUGGACUGGAAACUUUAACCCACUCAGAUGUUGUCUUUUCUUAAGGCAAAACAAAGAUGAUUACUGCCUGUGUUUGAAAAAAGGAUCUGGAGAAAUCAGCUGAGGUUGGUCAAAUAAAAAAAUGCUCAUUUCUGUCAUAUUUUAAUAGGCUAAACAAAUACUGACAUAGUAGCCCCCUUUUUGACACUUUUGGGGGAGCUGAGGAUGGACAGGAGGUCUCAUCUGUCAUUAAACCAAGUUAGCCCAAUGAACUGAAUUCAAUGAAAUCUAAAAUCUGUUUCACUGCACCUUCAAACCUCUCAGUCAUGAUGAAAGUUUGGUUUUUAAAUUGAUGCCAGUGGUGCUUAAGAUCACCUGCUGUCCUGCAGAGUACAGAGCACAGUGAACUCCUCCAUGUUUGUACAGAUGAUGCUGAUGGAUGUUUCAACCUUAGACUAUGUCAGUGCGUGUAUGUGUGUGUGUCCAGAAAUGUCCUGAUGAUGCUCAUCACUUCAGUCCACUUUGUUUUGUUGAUCUUGGGUGUUGCAGUGUAAAAUCUCAAGUUUUCCCAUCAUGCCUCUGUCCUCUUUUGGUGAGGAAACCUCAGAGAAGUCCAGUCCAUGUUUUUUGGUUUUCCUCUUCUUCCUUUUAUCAUCUUCUUAGAUGGUGAAAAUGUUUUACUUUCUGUUCCUGACAUUCAUGUGUUGAUAUUUUUCAAAAAGUGAGUUUAAAUUUUUAUUCAGGUUUUUAUUAACAAACAUGCCACUUGUCUAAGAAGACUAAAAAAUAGCUGCACAUCAUUUGGUCACUAAGCAACACUGAACGUUUACGACCUGCUUAUUGGACAAACCAGAGCUGUGCAGAGACCGAGUUCAGACGAGUUUCUGCUCUGUGCUUCUGGUUUCAUUGUUAAUGUAGUUCUUCUGAACUGCAGACAUCUCUCACAGGUAUGUGUUUGUUUGUGUGUGUGUGUGUGUUGUUUGUGUGUGUGUUCAGGAAAAACAGGGCAGUGGCUUUUGCUGAAGAAGGAGGAGACGGUUUGAUCUCAGUCAGUCAGAACUCAGCCUGGACCAGGGAUGCAAAAAAGACAUCUGAAAGUUUUACCUGCUCAAGGACAUUAAGUCUGAAAUGAAGCCGAUCCAGUAUUUUAACCAAGACUUCCUAAAAGGGUCACUUUUUUAUUUCAUAAAUUUGACUUAAUACCUCAAAUUAUUUUUUCAUUAAGGUCAAGUCUCCUGCCUUUUUUAAAUAGUUAAACUGGUAUAAAUUGGCUUCCAUAGAUAGCACAUGGGCACCAUCAGGGCAGAAAUUAUGGGAACAAACACAGGAGAGGAUGUGAAGAUGGGGAAAUACAAACCGAAAGAAAUCAAGCUUCAAAAUAGAAAUCACAUGGAUGAUUAGAAAAGGGAAAACUUUGAUUAUAAGGUUCUUUCUUUGGGCUGUCAAGGGAAAUAUGCAAACCUGUUGUAACUGCUGUUUGUUCUGUAAUGCAAACCUUGUCUAAGUUUCUCUUUGAGUCUUAUAAAGUCUUUGAUUGACUUUUAAAGCGUGCAGAGCAGACACCCUGACUGUGAUCAAACCGGCUCCUUGUUUUUCCUCGGAGUGCUGGGUAAGAAAUGCUGUCUUUGUAACAUCACAGCUGGCUACGCCAAUAGGAGCAAUUCCUCAGAAGGACUGCUCUUAGCUUUACUCUUACAGUCAGCAUCUUAUUUGUGUUAGAGUCUGACUCAGAGUCAGCAGGAAUGUUGUUUUAAAGCCUGACAGCAACUGGAUGCUGGAUUAAAAAACAUUGACUUCAGUGUGACUGAGUCUGGUCUGGUGGGAUAAAUCUCUGUCAGCAGAAAUACAAUAAUGUUCAUGUGAAACUGACUCAGUCUGAUCCUACAGACAGCGGCUGCUGUGUUUUUAAUCUCAUAUGGAAGCCUUAAAAGUGUGGCACUGACAUUCAACCUCCUUCAAGAUUAACAGCUGGACUUCAUUUCCCAGAAUUCCACCAAAUAUAUAAGAAUGUUAGCAGGAUUAAUCCCUACUUCAUAAGUAUAUAUAUAUAUA
Xyrichtys novacula (pearly razorfish) is the source of this 4820-nucleotide non-coding RNA. NCBI's taxonomy places the organism in Eukaryota, Metazoa, Chordata, Actinopteri, Labriformes, Labridae. The record is from the annotation of a GenBank genome assembly.